UCGUACAAUGCUAUGCCCAAA
Molecule: non-coding RNA, 21 nt
Filed under: Caenorhabditis elegans
Lineage: Eukaryota; Metazoa; Nematoda; Chromadorea; Rhabditida; Rhabditidae
Source: RNAcentral